This 253-nucleotide ribosomal RNA is filed under the name uncultured bacterium. RNAcentral's name for it is "partial 16S ribosomal RNA". It matches the Rfam family "Bacterial small subunit ribosomal RNA", at positions 524 to 776 of the family's 1533-position model. The record is from RNAcentral.
UACGAAGGGGGCUAGCGUUGCUCGGAAUUACUGGGCGUAAAGCGCACGUAGGCGGCUUUCUAAGUCGGGGGUGAAAUCCUGGAGCUCAACUCCAGAACUGCCUUCGAUACUGGAGAGCUUGAGUCCGGGAGAGGUGAGUGGAACUGCAAGUGUAGAGGUGAAAUUCGUAGAUAUUCGCAAGAACACCAGUGGCGAAGGCGGCUCACUGGCCCGGUACUGACGCUGAGGUGCGAAAGCGUGGGGAGCAAACAGG